This 492-nucleotide ribosomal RNA is filed under the name uncultured bacterium. RNAcentral describes it as "partial 16S ribosomal RNA". It matches the Rfam family "Bacterial small subunit ribosomal RNA", at positions 29 to 507 of the family's 1533-position model. The record is from RNAcentral.
AGUGAACGCUGGCGGUAGGCCUAACACAUGCAAGUCGAACGGCAGCACAGUAAGAGCUUGCUCUUACGGGUGGCGAGUGGCGGACGGGUGAGGAAUACAUCGGAAUCUACUUUUUCGUGGGGGAUAACGUAGGGAAACUUACGCUAAUACCGCAUACGAUCUACGGGUGAAAGCAGGGGAUCUUCGGACCUUGCGCGAUUGAAUGAGCCGAUGUCGGAUUAGCUAGUUGGCGGGGUAAAGGCCCACCAAGGCGACGAUCCGUAGCUGGUCUGAGAGGAUGAUCAGCCACACUGGAACUGAGACACGGUCCAGACUCCUACGGGAGGCAGCAGUGGGGAAUAUUGGACAAUGGGCGCAAGCCUGAUCCAGCCAUACCGCGUGAGUGAAGAAGGCCUUCGGGUUGUAAAGCCCUGUUGUUGGGAAAGAAAAGCAGCAGGUUAAUACCCCGCUGUUCUGACGGUACCCAAAGAAUAAGCACCGGCUAACUUCGUG